GUCUUUUCUCAUUCUAUUCUUCUGUAGUCGUUUCUAUGUACUUAUUUUUUUGAUCAUAAUUCUUUCAAGAUUGCACCAUUUUGCCAGUUAUUCCUUGUGCGUGAAUAUUGAAUAUAUGAUUCGCGAUUUAUUAUUUUUAAUCGUUUCUUGUCGGGACUCCAACUCGCCACGUGGUUUAAUUCAACGCGUGGAUAGAACAAAUCUUUCUGAAAUAUAACGGAAAACCAAUGAAUGCUGUGACAAUUUUAAUCAAAACUUGUACGAUUUUAAUUUUUAAAUUCAUUGGUUUAAAGUUAUCUAUUAAGGGAAGCAGGAUAAAUUUGUGUUUAAAGGUUAAGUUUUAUAGAAAUAAAUGAAUAGUUUUUGUUUAAAUGUUAUGUAUUCCCUUAUUUAAGACGCAAAAAAGUAAAUUGUGAUACAAAAUUUAUUUAAAAUACUUUGUUUUUUGUUAUUCAAGAUAAAUCUGAAAUUUUCAAGUUUUGCUAUUUUUAUAACUUUUGAGGGAGCAAUUCUUUAUUUUCUAGUCUAGUUUUUCUUAGAACACUGUUCUACAGAUUGAACGUAAAUAGAAUUAAACCCAAAAAACUACUACGAAAUGUUAACAACAUAAACAUAAAUUUCGUCAUUUUUUAGAGCUUGAUGUUAUCUCGAAAAAAUCGGAGAAUCACAUCCAUUUAUUUUUUUCUCUAAAAUAAAUUAGCCUCUAAUUUAACUGUACAGAUUUUCUGCUUUCCCUUAAUAAUUGUAUCAAUAUAUAGUAUCCUCUCAUUUUGGCAUGCCUCCAGUUUGUAUCUCGCUGGAGCAUGAAUGCUUGUGGGAGGUAAAACAAAGAGGGAACUUGCCUUCGGAAUCCACACGAUACUGUCUGGAGCCGUUUCUCUAAGUUUCCAACACUUAAUCCUCAUAAAAAUAUGCUGACAAAUACUUUUGUGGGUUUAAUACUGCUAAAUCUACAUUUAUCUUUUAUCUUUUUUACAGGACUGUGCAUUUUAAGGACAAACUCCAAACGAAGCAUUGUUUGCACGUGCAAUACUUUACACGUUUAUCUGUAGAAAACACUAAACAAUAAUAGAAUUUGAAACAAUGUCAUAUUUUUUUACUAGAUGCUUUUUUUACUAGACAUUAUUUUAUUAUUAGAAGUUAUACUUAAUUAUACUAAGAAAACCAUGUGUUCCAUAUUUGAAACAGAUCUCAUAUAUUUAUUACAUUUCGAAAUUACUUGAUAUUUUAAUACACAAAAAGAUCAGACAAUCUUAAAUACAAAUAUGAUAUUUGUAUGAAAAACGUAGCAAACAGAUUAUGCAAGUUGAAUAGAAUGUACUGUGGAAGAGCAAGUUGAUGCUAAUACUGAAUAAUUACAAAAAACAAUUGUGAAUAUUUGACAACACUUUCCAUAAUAUCUAUUGGAAAAUUAAUAGCAAAAUUUGCAUUCAUCGAUAGAGCAAUUAUUUUGUUCUCUUAAGUAGACCAGAAUAUGUAAAUAGGUGCUUUUGACAAGUAAUUAUUCGUUUUUCAUGAUUACACAAUCUAAAACGAUUUUAGGAAUAAAGCAUCAAAUUUUUUAAUGCAAUAUUUGCGCAAGGAUUUUACAAACGGAGAAAUUAUAAUAUACUAUGGAAAAUGUGAUGGCAAUGCUAGACUCCAAGGAAAAGCUCAACACUUGGCAAUUUCUAUAAUAUUGGCUAUAUAUUGAAAAACUGAUGGCAAAAUUUGAAUUCAUCAAUAGGAAGAGCAAUCGUGAUUUUAAUAUCUUAGAUCGGAAUAUGUAAAUAGGCGAUUGUGACAAGUAAUUAUUUGUUUUUCAUUCCCAGUAAACGGAAAUGGAUUUAAAUGGAUUCAAAAUUUAUAAUCCAUUUUAAUUUAUUUGAUAUUAUUCCAAUCUUAUGUCAUAAGUUAAAAUGAUUGAGAGACUCACGAAAACUUUUAAUUGUAAGUUGUAAAAUGUUGAGAAAAAGUAUUGACACUAUUGAUUAAAAUUUUAUAAUUGAAUUAUAAAA
This is a long non-coding RNA of Solenopsis invicta (red fire ant), 1997 nucleotides long. RefSeq lists it as uncharacterized. The transcript is spliced from 3 exons. Lineage: Eukaryota; Metazoa; Arthropoda; Insecta; Hymenoptera; Formicidae. The record is from RefSeq and is a predicted model, not a curated record.